Molecule: long non-coding RNA, 713 nt
Filed under: Ananas comosus (pineapple)
Lineage: Eukaryota; Viridiplantae; Streptophyta; Magnoliopsida; Poales; Bromeliaceae
Description: long non-coding RNA (ACOM_LNC009659)
Source: RNAcentral
CUCUCUCUCUCUCUAUAUAUAUAUAUAUAUAUAUAUAUAUAUAUAUACAUAUACACAUGUGGAUAUAUGUAUACAUGUGUAUAUAAACAUGUAUAGGCUAGGGCUACUAUACUCUUAUGAGUAUAGAGCCCUUCAUAUUCAUAAGUUGUUUUCAAUGAUGGAGCUUCCGAAUUGACGAUCCACUCCGUUAAAUAUGAUCUAGAAUAUUUGAAACUUGUAGAAAAUAAAUUUCGUAAUUUUUCGAAAUCAUAAUAAAGUUCAUCAAGCGGUUAUAAAAUGAACGGUCAAAAUCGAACGAUGUCUUAAAAAUAGAUGAUAGGAUCUUUUAAUUUAAGAUCGGAGUUAUUGAUCUUUAUCUACGUAGUGAAUAGAAUUUUCUAUCAAAAAUUCAACCGAUUUCGAUUCUUUUACACCGUUAAACUAGUAAAUAUCCCAUACCCGCCGUUAAAAAUUGUCAAUUUUGUGACGUUUUGAUCGUAAGGUAAAGGAUGUCGAAAAAUUAUAAAUUUGAUUUCUAGACAUUUUAAAUGCUCUACAUAAUAUUUAACGGUGUUGAUCGUCGAUUCGGAAGCUCUAUCAUCGAAAACAACUUAUGAGUACGAGUGCGUGCGAUCGAACUGAUAAGAGUAUAGUAGCCGAGCUCUCUCUCUCUCUCUCUCUCUCUCUCUCUCUCUCUCUCUCUCUCUCUCUAUAUAUAUAUAUAUAUAUAUAAU